CAGCAGCCGCGGGAAUACGAAGGGUGCAAGCGUUAAUCGGAAUUACUGGGCGUAAAGCGCGCGUAGGUGGUUUGGUAAGAUGGAUGUGAAAUCCCCGGGCUCAACCUGGGAACUGCAUCCAUAACUGCCUGACUAGAGUACGGUAGAGGGUGGUGGAAUUUCCUGUGUAGCGGUGAAAUGCGUAGAUAUAGGAAGGAACACCAGUGGCGAAGGCGACCACCUGGACUGAUACUGACACUGAGGUGCGAAAGCGUGGGGAGCAAACAGGAUUAGAUACCCCGGUAGUCCCUGUCUCUUAUAC
Molecule: ribosomal RNA, 301 nt
Filed under: uncultured bacterium
Lineage: Bacteria
Description: partial 16S ribosomal RNA
Rfam family: Bacterial small subunit ribosomal RNA
Source: RNAcentral